Molecule: long non-coding RNA, 405 nt
Organism: Corapipo altera (White-ruffed manakin)
Lineage: Eukaryota; Metazoa; Chordata; Aves; Passeriformes; Pipridae
Exons: 4
Source: RefSeq, a predicted model, not a curated record
UCAAACAAUUCUAGGAUUUGCUUGGCUAUGGUGACAGCUGAAAGCUAAGUAGGUAUGGUGGACAGGAAGAUCAUCCAAGAGUUUCAUUUGUGGGGUGUGUUCAGGCUCAAGCAAGAAGUGCCUGAGCUGCUGUUUGAGGUUAGAAGUUGAAGAGUGUCAGAAGAGCUGAAGUUUGCCUAUGCCAGCUUCAUGUGAAAUGUGGGGCACGCUGCAGAUUCUACCUUAUAGCAACAGUUUACUAUGAGAUGUGUUACAUAGGUUUCUGAACAGUUUUGGAAUUUUGGAAGGCUCCUCCUCCUUGGAUUCUAGAGAAAGAUGCCUUUUUCCCCCUGCUAUUUAGCAAGUUUUGGACUAAAUUGCACAAGACGUUGUACCCAUGUUCUAUUCUAAUAAAUUACAUGAAAU